Long non-coding RNA from Gadus macrocephalus (Pacific cod), 2596 nucleotides. RefSeq lists it as uncharacterized. The transcript has 4 exons. The record is from RefSeq and is a predicted model, not a curated record. NCBI's taxonomy places the organism in Eukaryota, Metazoa, Chordata, Actinopteri, Gadiformes, Gadidae.
CGGUCUCGAGGAGAGAAUUCGCCGGCCAUUCUUCUCCGCCUCGCUCAGUCUGCUCUCACCACGUAGCAACCCCGCACGGCGACGGCCAAUCAAACACGACUCCUGGGACGUGGAGGACGGCCUUGAAGAUGCAUUCUCAAGCAGCAUGGAUGUAGAGGAGUUAGACAACAGUAAAUGAGACUGGCUUCACGCCAACAGCCUCUGACAGUCUGGUCGUGCGUUUGAAACCAGUACCUUUUUGGUCGGGAGCCCAACACCGGAACCAAUAGACUGGCAUGGCCCCACUCCACAGAAACAUGGACACAACUCCUGCCAUACGCAACUUCCUGCACACACAGUGCAACAACAGACCACGUUAGGCCCAACAUAAGACACCACUCAAAGAUAAAUCGGCCUUCAUGAUAAGAAAUGUCUUAUUUUUUUUCAAAAAUCGAACACCAAUCCAGCCGUCAGUCAUUAAGUAUUUGUAAAGCUAUUCUUGUUAUCCAUGUUUACUUUGUUCAAACUAUGACUUUCUUACUCUUUUUCAUCUUCAACUAUCCAUGGACAACUGUCCACUGUUCUCUCCUCAAGCACAUGUGUUAUCUAAUGCACUGUUGAAAUCCGUUGAACGGUGGAAGAUGCUCUCACAGUCACUGGACACAGUUCAUGAUUGUGUUAUGGGUUUAUAUUUUGUGUUAUUAUUAUUAUGAGUAUUCUGCUUUGCCAAGAACAAGAGGGCGGUUGUGUAAUGAAAUUGUAGAACCUUUGUGUUCUUUGUGUUGGGGGUGUGUUGGCGAUUUGAGUUUGAGUUUAGAAAUAUAUAAGUGUGUGACUAACAGGCAGAAUGAUGUGAAAGCAAAGCAUACAGUCAAGUUAAACCAAUAUAGCUGAGGGAUAUAAUUUCUGAAAGAUUCAUAUACAUCUUAAGCUUAGUAUAGAAUCAGUGACAUUAAAUAUAUUUUGUAACACCAAUAUCAACUAAUUUAAAAUAUCUUGUUUGUUUAUUGAUAAACAAACAUUUAAAAUCACACUUUCAAAAAUUGGCAUCAUAGAUUAAAUUGUAGGUCAUUUUAUAAUUUUUUGUGUCCAUUUACUGUCCCUAUCCAAACGGUCUCCAUUAAUACUGAAUACAUCAGCCAACUAAUGCAACAAAGAGUUGCACUUAUACUUCUACAGCAUUCAUUAUUAAAAAAACAGUCAGUUGAAAUGUCAAAUCAGCACUCAUUUGUCUAAUGGUAUUCAAUUAACGUCUAUAAAGGUUAUAAAUCAAAACAACUAAAUUGUUUCCCUAUUUUCUCUGUCUCUAGAUCUUUAUCAAAUUACUUGCCUCUAAAUAGAAUGAUACUGUUGAACAUGCUGGGUAAUUUAAGGGGUUGUAGAAAUAUAUAAUUACAGCGUUGGAGAUAAAACUCCCACACUAUUUGCAUAUGCUGUAUUUUUUCAAUAUGUGUAUUUUUAUUUAUGUACAUAUUAUAGCAUUGUAAGUAGUCUGAAUACAAUCAGGGUUAUACUUUUUCUACCAACAUUUAUUACUCUUGUAAAUAAAAACGUGAAUGCCUGUUUUUUUCAUUUGGUUAUACGGUUAAUAAUUAUGUUAUGAACUAUUUUCUUCUCAAAUUGUAUUAUGGGCUAUGGGUUAUAGAAUAUUGGGGCCUGUGUGUCGCUGUCAUGACACCCACUACUAGAAUAAUUGGAUGGCUUAUCAGGUUCGACCAUGGGGCUUAAUUGCAUUUCAUUUCUGCGCCAUUGGAAAUGCCAGAGAGAGCGAGAGAGAGCAAGAGAGAAAGAGAGAGACGAUAGGGUGGGAGACCACCACCACUGUCUUCACAUUCAGGAGCCCUGUUGAAUUAUAAUGAGGACUUGGGAAUGUGUGGGAUUCCGGAUUCUUUUUUGUUGGUAUUGUUAUGAGAUUUGCCUGAAUUCUAUUUUAAUUUCUUUACUAUUUUGGUAUCAUCUAACUUGUUUUUGUCUCAAAAUGUGCUCUAUGAUCUUUUUUAUGGGGGGGGGGAUAUUAUUGAAUCACUAUCAUUUAAGUUUUUUUAUUUACAGUUAAUGCCUGGAUAUUAAUAUUGUCUAGUUUGGUUUUAUCGAUAUACUAAAGACUUCCAACUAACCCACACAACUCGUUGAAGAAAGAUAGGUUAAGGCAGUGAAAUAAGUAGUACACACAUUUCAACAAAAUCAUUGGAUAUUGUAAAACUUUUUUAUUUUGUCCAACUUCUUUCCGGAGACAAAAACUCAGAUGUCAUUUUAUAUUCUGAAAAAAGUAUCUAUUUUUCUUGUUUAAGAGUUCAUUACUUACAUAUUUGUUUACUUAAAUAUAUGUAAAUGAAUUAUAUUCAAAUUGCAUCUGUUUUCCUUUAGAUGCAGUACAAAUCAAUAUUAGGAAACAGCAAUGCAAAGUCAAGAAAAGCAAAUACAUAUUGGGUAACAAUGUAGCUAUAGUAACUAGUUAAAAUGUUUAUAUUUCUUAAUCAUCUUGGCUAACCAACAGAACAAUGUUGUCGUUUGUCAAAGAGGGUGCUUGAUAUUGGUUACCUAUGCAAUUGUUGGAUAUGUCAAAUACUGUAUUAUGAGAGCAGUUUGUGAAUAAAACAUAUUUAGUUGAUGUACA